This 383-nucleotide ribosomal RNA is filed under the name uncultured bacterium. RNAcentral's name for it is "bacterial SSU rRNA". It matches the Rfam family "Bacterial small subunit ribosomal RNA", at positions 29 to 428 of the family's 1533-position model. The record is from RNAcentral.
AAUGAACGUUGGCGGCGUGGAUUAGGCAUGCAAGUCGAGCGAGAAGCUUCCUUCGGGAAGUGGAAAGCGGCGAAAGGGAGAGUAACGCGUGGAUUAUCUACCCUCGGAUCCGGGAUAGCUGCGGGAAACUGCAGGUAAUACCGGAUAACGUCUCCGGACCAAAGGUGUGAUUCCGUCCGAGGAUGAGUCCGCGUCCUAUUAGCUUGUUGGUGGGGUAACGGCCUACCAAGGCGAUGAUGGGACUGGGUGUGAGAGCACGACCCAGCUCACUGGGACUGAGACACUGCCCAGACACCUACGGGUGGCUGCAGUCGAGAAUCUUCGGCAAUGGGCGCAAGCCUGACCGAGCGACGCCGCGUGCGGGAUGAAGGCCUCGGUUGUAA